Molecule: non-coding RNA, 2269 nt
Organism: Sus scrofa (pig)
Lineage: Eukaryota; Metazoa; Chordata; Mammalia; Artiodactyla; Suidae
Source: RefSeq, a predicted model, not a curated record
GUGACGUGGCCGGAGCAGCCCUGUCUGUGCCUAAACUGAAGCUCGGCCACGCUAGAUCUGGAUUGGUGGUAGGCGGGGCGGGCCCCGGUCGCUGGCCGGAAGCGGAAGUGGAGGAAAGAUGCAGGACCAUCAGCACGUGCCCAUCGACAUCCAGACCAGCAAGCUGCUCGACUGGCUGGUGGACAGAAGGCACUGCAACCUGAAAUGGCAGAGUCAGGUGUUGACCAUCCGAGAGAAGAUCAACGCUGCCAUCCAGGACAUGCCAGAGAGCGAAGAGAUCGCCCAGCUGCUCUCUGGAUCCUACAUUCACUACUUCCACUGCCUAAGGAUUGUGGAGCUUCUCAAAGGCACCGAAGCCUCCACCAAAAAUAUUUUUGGCCGGUACUCUUCACAGCGGAUGAAGGAUUGGCAGGAGAUCGUAGCCUUGUAUGAGAAGGACAACACCUACCUAGUGGAACUCUCCAGCCUCCUGGUUCGGAACGUCAACUACGAGAUCCCCUCACUGAAGAAACAGAUCGCCAAGUGCCAGCAGCUGCAGCAAGAAUACAGCCGCAAGGAAGAGGAGGGCCAGGCGGGGGCCGCCGAGAUGCGGGAGCAGUUCUACCACUCGUGCAAGCAGUAUGGCAUCACGGGGGACAACGUCCGAAGAGAACUCCUGGCCCUGGUGAAGGACCUGCCGAGCCAGCUGGCCGAGAUUGGGGCGGCAGCCCAGUCCCUGGGGGAAGCCAUCGACCUGUACCAGGCCUGCGUGGGGUUUGUGUGUGAAAGCCCCGAGGAGCAGGUGCUGCCCAUGCUGCGGUUUGUGCAGACACGGGGGAACGGCACCGUGUACGAGUGGAGGACGGGCACCGAGCCCUCGGUGGUGGAGCGGCCAUACCUCGAGGAGCCCCCGGAGCAGGUGGAAGAAGACGCGAUUGACUGGGGCGACUUUGGGGUGGAGGUGGCCUCUGAAGGGCCCGACUCUGGCAUCUCUGCCCAGGCGGCUGAAAUUGACUGGGGCAUCUCCCUGGAGUCAGACUCAAAGGAAGCUGGGGGUGAUGAGAUAGACUGGGGAGACGACGCCACUGCUCUGCAGAUCACAGUACUGGAAGCCGGAACCCAGGCUCCAGAAGGUGUUGCUAGGGGCUCAGAUGCUCUGACCCUUCUUGAAUACCCUGAGACCCGGAAUCAGUUCAUUGAUGAGCUCAUGGAGCUCGAGAGCUUCCUGUCGCAGAGAGCCGUGGAGAUGAGCGAGGAGGCCGACAUCCUGUCCGUGAGCCAGUUCCAGCUGGCUCCAGCCAUCCUGCAGGGCCAGACCAAAGCGAAGACAGUGAGCAUGGUGUCGGCUCUGCAGGAUCUGAUCGGCCGCCUCACCAACCUUCGAAUGCAACACCUGUUUAUGAUCCUGGCUUCACCAAGGUCUGCCUUUCCCCUUGAUGUUGGGCUCUCCGAGGGCAUGCUGCAGAGUGCUGCCUUCUUGGCAGCCCUGACUCCUUGCUUCCUCCUCUCCAUGAACCCACAGACCUCACCCUUGCCUCCCGCAACUGCACCCUCCCAGCUGGGAAGGGGGUUCUCCUGGGGCACGAUGGCAGCAGCGGGGGGGUCUGAUGUGCACGGUCAGGGUCUGCUUCCCAGAGGAGACAGGGACGCGGGAGUGCUGUUCCUUCCAGGAAAGGACUGAAGGAGGCUGGAGGCUGGAGGCUGAGAAGCCAAGGAGAGACUUGGUCUCCCAAGCCUCCCCUUUUGCAGCAGUUGGCCGGGGCUGCUCAGCUUGCAUAGCCACACCACUUACCGAGCGCCCUGCCCAGGUACGUGGACCGAGUGACGGAGCUCCUCCAGCAGAAGCUAAAGCAGUCCCAGCUGCUGGCCUUGAAAAAAGAACUGAUGGUGCAGAAGCAGCAGGAAGCGCUUCAGGAGCAGGCGGCUCUGGAGCCCAAGCUGGACCUGCUGCUGGAGAAGACGAAGGAGCUGCAGAAGCUGAUCGAAGCUGACAUUUCCAAGAGGUACAACGGGCGCCCUGUGAACCUGAUGGGAACCUCUCUGUGACACGCUCCCCAUUCUUCCUGCCUGUCUUCUCAGCCUUCAGGACAGAGGGGGGACAGCCAGGGGCCCCUCCUGGCAAGGGCUCAGACCCCAGGAUGGAACCAUCACCGGAUGGUGUCCUGGGCGCUCUGUACUCUGCAAGAAGCUGUCUUGAGUGGUCCUGUGGCCCAUCAGCCUGAAACCACAGCUUCUGCUCCUUCUCAUUCUCUAGUUGCACUUAAUAAAAGAGGAAGGGACUCCUGCUUCA